UUGGUUGGUGUGGCAUUUGGUGUUGCUUGC
This 30-nucleotide non-coding RNA is filed under the name Homo sapiens (human). The record is from RNAcentral. Lineage: Eukaryota; Metazoa; Chordata; Mammalia; Primates; Hominidae.